AUCUUUCUAGUACUAAAGCAAGUAUGAGUGACUUCCAAUCACUGGGUCUUGGUUAAAAUCCAAGGAAAGAUAA
Molecule: transfer RNA, 73 nt
Filed under: Trachinotus blochii (snubnose pompano)
Lineage: Eukaryota; Metazoa; Chordata; Actinopteri; Carangiformes; Carangidae
Description: tRNA-Gly
Rfam family: tRNA
About the family: Transfer RNA (tRNA) molecules are approximately 80 nucleotides in length.
Source: RNAcentral